AAGGAUAAUUGUGUUGGAGGAGGCUUUGAUAUCCAAAGAAAUACACCUCUUCUUCCAACCUUGUUAAAUUGAUGUGUCACUAAAUGCAAUUUGUCAUUAACAACAAGGGCAUCAUAGGGAUGGACCAGGUGGUGAAUAAGAAAUACCCUGGACUGAAGAAACAAUGUUCAUCUACUUUCAAGUCAGCACAGUAUGGAAUAUUUAUAAUGGCAUGCCAAAGUUGCUUCUUCAGUUGCUGUAUUCCAAUCACGAGAAUCAUCACAUCAAGUCUGUUAUACCUAUUAAGUUGUAUUUGCCUUCCUGUGCUAACAGUUUAAGUUCACCUUGUUUAUUUACCACAUUCUAAGUAUGAACAUGAAGGGCAGAAACCUUUUAUGUAUAUUUUGAUUUGAACUGUAAUUUCAAGGGGCAGGUUCAUGGCAAUGGAAUACUGUACAUAGAGAUAUGUUACAUGAAAAGGAAAACCAUGAAAGCCUAUACUUGGUAAACCAACGAUGAAAACCAAAAGGAUAAAAACCAACGUUAUCAAAACCAAGGAAUUAAAAAAAAAGUCUUCAGUCUCUACAGAUAUUGAUGUCUAAAUGUUUGAGGGAGAUCCAGAUACAGGUUUCCUUCCAUUACACUUAGUUUACUGUAUCAACUUCAAUGGUUCAGGCCUGCUGCAUCCAUCUUUCUUUUUCUAAGAUUGCCACAGCGUCGAAGGGGAGAAGUCUGGAAUGUCAGCCCAGACAACAACAACAGACCAUCCCCUGGGAACCAAGGUCAUCUCAACAGGUGCUGGCCAGAGACCGAGGAGAGUUGCCAAGGAGAUGCCAGAACACCUAAUUGGACAAUGUGACCUGUGACCAUGAGGGAAGGAAUUAUUUAUUCUUUAAUUAUACUGAAACCGCUGGAAAUAUUUAGAGCUGGUUUCGUUUUCAUUCAUGCUGACAUGAUGUACUCAAUAAAACAGUUCUUUGG
This is a long non-coding RNA of Pantherophis guttatus, 960 nucleotides long. RefSeq lists it as uncharacterized. The record is from RefSeq and is a predicted model, not a curated record. Lineage: Eukaryota; Metazoa; Chordata; Lepidosauria; Squamata; Colubridae.